Molecule: long non-coding RNA, 197 nt
Organism: Saccostrea echinata
Lineage: Eukaryota; Metazoa; Mollusca; Bivalvia; Ostreida; Ostreidae
Exons: 3
Source: RefSeq, a predicted model, not a curated record
UUCCCCCACAGAAACAAAUAGCAAAAGCAGUAACAUUUUGGAAGAUGCGAUGAUGAGAAGACCUCUUGCCCAUGGAAUAAACUUGUAAAGAGAAGCUGAUGACUUCCAGUUUAUUGGUGUUUUCACCAAAAAAGGGGCCUUGUCGAGGAAAAGAGAACAUUAAAUGAAGGUCUAAUAACAGAAUGCAUCCCUGGGGU